Long non-coding RNA from Raphanus sativus (radish), 1922 nucleotides. RefSeq lists it as uncharacterized. Lineage: Eukaryota; Viridiplantae; Streptophyta; Magnoliopsida; Brassicales; Brassicaceae. The record is from RefSeq and is a predicted model, not a curated record. The transcript has 3 exons.
GCUCUUCCUACUUUUAUUGGUGUGACCCAUUAGGUUAAGGUGUAUUGAGUUGCGUCUUCCUCUUCGUCUUCGACGCUUCGUUUUUCUUUUUCUGUCCGCCAUUGCCUUAAAGUCUUCUUCCUCUCUGAAACUUCUCCUUUAAUUCAAUCAAUUAAGACCAUCCCACUCUUUCUUAUUUAUUCAGUCUCCCAAACGGCGUAUUUAACCGAUAUGUAACCGAUACAAUAUCCACCUUCAAAUAUGUCUUCUGUCCCUACGCCUCUCAGAUUUCUGAUAGCUUAAACCCUCUUACUCAUCACCCUAAAAUACGUCGGCUUCGUAUGAUCUUCUCGCCAACCAACUUGAAAGCAGGACGCUGCUCUUAACACGGUGGAGGUCUGUCAAAGGAGGUCUUGGGAAGAUCGGAAUGUCUAUAUAUCUGAGCGAGAUGAAGGUGCUCUUAAGUAUUUUAGGGAUAUCAAAAAGGAACAGAAUUAAAGAACCAAAAGGGUUCAAGCUUGAGUUUAUCUUUGAUCAGAGCCCUUACUUCACGAACAGAGUCUUGACCAUGACAUAUCACAUGAUUGAUGAAGAUGAGCAUAUCCUUGAAAAGACCAUUCGGACAGACAAUGAGUGGUAUCCUCUAAAAUGUAUGACUCGGUAGAUCCUUAGUUAAAGCCGAUCACUUAGACUAAAGACUGUGAGAGUUUCUGAAAAUUGUUCAGUCCACCUAAAAUUCAUGUGGAAGACGAUGAUCCUGUUGAUGAAUAGGUAUGGAAUAUUACUAAAUCCGGACUCAACAGCAUUCAAGACGACACACAGGAUCCGGUUGAGACUCAACAGCAGUUAGGAAGAGUUAAAGACUGUAUGAGCUCCCGCCACCUCAAAACUAAAGUGAUCACAGAUGUUCUACCAAACUUCCCAGAUAUCUCCAUAAAGUCAUGAACCAUCUGGAGAAAGAAUGUGCUUUCUAGAACAGGGAAAAGCACAUACGCCGUAAACAGAGAGGAGGUAUAUAGUUCAUCAUUUACUACUGAUUUGAUUUCGUGCUCUUUGCUUUUUAAUUUGUCUUCACCAUCAACUAAACCUAAAAUAUAACCUGACAUCAUGAAGCGAAUUCAAGUUUGUGAAAAUAGAUCUGAUGUUAAAGCACUAAAGCUGCUCCACGAGACUGGAAAAGCUAUACUCCUGAAGACUGAAUUUAAAUGAAAGUGUGAGACUCUGACUUCUUACUCUAGGUUUAAUACACAUGCGUUAUUGACUCACUCUUUUUUGUUAGGCUUUAUUUCCCGAUGCAAUAUGUAACCACUGACCAUUACAGAGUUUCACGAAAUGUUAGGCUGGUGAAGCCAACAUGACAGCAGUUCGUAAGCUAAUCUAAGAAGACUACAUGGGAGAUUCUAGCAGCCGCAGUAUAGGUUUGCUUUCUCAGUUCAGACCCUACUGUUUUAAGGUUUGUUGGUCACAAGCGUUAUUGACCCAUUGACCACAAUGAAGGCAUGUGUGAUCAAUGAUGGUGUAGCCUACGCGCUGAUCCAACACCAGUGGCGUCCAAAGUCGCUCAUCAUUGUUUGUAGUUUGACAGAGACUUGGGAUCUUGCAGUUUCCACAUCGAAAAGUCCAAAAAGUCCAAAGGCUGAUUUUGGCAUGGCACAUCACAUCACAUGUUUUAGCUGUGGAUGCUCACCAAGAAGAACUCGAAAAAGUUAUCAGUAAAGUGGCUGUUGACAUUCAUGGUUCUUUUGUCUCCAUGUCCUCUUCAGUACAUUCAUAAUAUGAUUUACUUAGGUUUAUCACUAUUUUUUAUAUCAACCCUCAGAUUUACCACUAUAAAUUUUUGGUUACCGUCACUUUAUCAUUUCUUCAGCACAUUCUAUUGUAAAUUGGUGAUACAUUACUGUAGAGAAGAGUUGUUCUGAAUUAGAAAACAUUGAGUGAAUAAA